Molecule: ribosomal RNA, 301 nt
Filed under: uncultured bacterium
Lineage: Bacteria
Description: partial 16S ribosomal RNA
Rfam family: Bacterial small subunit ribosomal RNA
Source: RNAcentral
CAGUAGCCGCGGGAAUACGUAGGGUGCGAGCGUUAAUCGGAAUUACUGGGCGUAAAGCGUGCGCAGGCGGUUGUGUAAGACAGGUGUGAAAUCCCCGGGCUUAACCUGGGAACUGCGCUUGUGACUGCACAGCUAGAGUAUGGCAGAGGGGGGUGGAAUUCCACGUGUAGCAGUGAAAUGCGUAGAGAUGUGGAGGAACACCGACGGCGAAGGCAGCCCCCUGGGCCAAUACUGACGCUCAUGCACGAAAGCGUGGGGAGCAAACAGGAUUAGAUACCCCCGUAGUCCCUGUCUCUUAUAC